RNAcentral lists this ribosomal RNA (345 nucleotides) under uncultured eukaryote. Its description in RNAcentral is "SSU rRNA". It matches the Rfam family "Eukaryotic small subunit ribosomal RNA", at positions 594 to 945 of the family's 1831-position model. The record is from RNAcentral.
AUAGCGUAUAUUAAAGUUGUUGUGGUUAAAAAGCUCGUAGUUGAACCUUGGGCCUGGCUGGCCGGUCCCCCUCACCGGGUGCACUGAUCCAGCCGGGUCUUUCCCGCUGUGGAACCCCAUGGCCUUCACUGGUCGUGGCGGGGAAACAGGACUUUUACUUUGAAAAAAUUAGAGUGCUCCAGGCAGGCCUAUGCUCGAAUACAUUAGCAUGGAAUAAUAGAAUAGGACUUUGGUUCUAUUUUGUUGGUUUCUAGGACCGAAGUAAUGAUUAAUAGGGAUAGUUGGGGGCAUUAGUAUUUAAUUGUCAGAGGUGAAAUUCUUGGAUUUAUUAAAGACUAACUUCUG